Molecule: ribosomal RNA, 254 nt
Filed under: uncultured bacterium
Lineage: Bacteria
Description: partial 16S ribosomal RNA
Rfam family: Bacterial small subunit ribosomal RNA
Source: RNAcentral
UACGAGGGGGGCGAGCGUUGUUCGGAAUUAUUGGGCGUAAAGGGUGCGUAGGCGGUUUUGGUAAGUCUGAUGUGAAAUCUAUGGGCUCAACUCAUAGUCUGCAUCGGAAACUGCCGGGCUUGAGUGUGGGAGAGGUGAGUGGAAUUCCUGGUGUAGCGGUGAAAUGCGUAGAUAUCAGGAGGAACACCUGUGGCGAAAGCGGCUCACUGGACCAUAACUGACGCUGAUGCACGAAAGCUAGGGGAGCAAACAGG